Cimex lectularius (bed bug) is the source of this 1034-nucleotide long non-coding RNA. RefSeq lists it as uncharacterized. NCBI's taxonomy places the organism in Eukaryota, Metazoa, Arthropoda, Insecta, Hemiptera, Cimicidae. The transcript is spliced from 4 exons. The record is from RefSeq and is a predicted model, not a curated record.
GGAAGUUGCACUGGAACGUCGGAUGAUCGUUCAUCACUAAACUUGAUGAUGAGCUUAUCGAUAACGCUGAUAACUGACAGUUAGCAGAUCCGUCUAAUGUUAGUCAUUAGUCUUCGCUUUAAAGGAAAGUUUCAAUAUAUUUUUUAUUAAAGUGUUCUCCGUCGAAUUUUAAAACAAGACAUUAGGACCGUUAUGUUUGUACAGCUUAAAAUAAUAUCGUAUUUGGCUAAUAAGAUAAAAAUAACCCGUGAUCACUGCCCUUAGGUGUCGUAGCUUUAUUUACAUUAAAUGGAAUUUAAAUUUCUGAAAAAUAAAUUGAGGAAUGUUGCGGUUUUUGUAUUUGUAAUAAGUCUUACAUUUAUUUUAUACCAAAUAACGUUCGUGUCUAUGAUUGACGACUCCAGUGACUCUAUUGUAGGGAACAAUGUUCAAAAAAUAAUCUUGAAACCAAAGUUGGAAGCGAUUUUGAACUCGAAUAAAAGCUUCAAGUGUAAAACUGGCAUGGAAAUUGAUUUUUCCAAAUUCAACGAUGACUAUUGUGAUUGUGAUGAUGGAAGUGACGAACCCAGGACAAAUGCUUGUGUCGACAGCGAAUUUCUCUGCUGGCACAAGUCCAAAAUUGUUAAGAUCCCAUCAGGAUGGGUAAAUGAUGGGAUAUGUGAUUGCUGUGAUGGCUCUGAUGAGUAUGCUUCCAUAAAAUCUCCAAUUAACUUAGACCCAUCAGUUCAAAAGGCUAUAGGACAGUACAUGACCCCGUGUUCGAACCGUUGCUUAACCUAGAGCCAGUUAAAUCUAACAAAAUGUAUGACAGUUGAGCCUACAGUGCCGUUUCAACAAAGCUAGAACAGUGUUACUCAAGACAAAAUUCAAGGUUGCAGUUGUAACAAAAUAAUUGUAACUAAAUUUACACUUAAUGGAAUUGAAAUAUUGAGUAGAGCAUUUGUUCAGAUGUUAUAAUAACUGUUAAAAUUUAUUUUAAAAAAUGUCUUAUUAGUUUUUUUAGUUAUCAUUGGGGUUGUUUAAAAAAUAAAAAC